CUCUUUCAGAGUCCGAGUUGUAAUUUGCAGAGGGCGCUUUGGCUUUGGCAGCGGUCCAAGUUCCUUGGAACAGGACGUCACAGAGGGUGAGAAUCCCGUACGUGGUCGCUAGCUAUUGCCGUGUAAAGCCCCUUCGACGAGUCGAGUUGUUUGGGAAUGCAGCUCUAAAUGGGAGGUAAAUUUCUUCUAAAGCUAAAUAUUGGCCAGAGACCGAUAGCGCACAAGUAGAGUGAUCGAAAGAUGAAAAGCACUUUGGAAAGAGAGUCAAACAGCACGUGAAAUUGUUGAAAGGGAAGCGCUUGCAGCCAGACUUGCUUGCAGUUGCUCAUCCGGGCUUUUGCCCGGUGCACUCUUCUGCAGGCAGGCCAGCAUCAGUUUGGGCGGUGGGAUAAAGGUCUCUGUCACGUACCUCUCUUCGGGGAGGCCUUAUAGGGGAGACGACAUACCACCAGCCUAGACUGAGGUCCGCGCAUCUGCUAGGAUGCUGGCGUAAUGGCUGUAAGCGGCCCGUCUUGAAACACGGACCAAGGAGUCUAACAUCUAUGCGAGUGUUUGGGUGUCAAGCCCGAGCGCGUAAUGAAAGUGAACGGAGGUGGGAACCCGCAAGGGUGCACCAUCGACCGAUCCUGAAGUUUACGGAAGGAUUUGAGUAAGAGCAUGGCUGUUGGGACCCGAAAGAUGGUGAACUAUGCUUGAAUAGGGUGAAGCCAGAGGAAACUCUGGUGGAGGCUCGCAGCGGUUCUGACGUGCAAAUCGAUCGUCAAAUUUGGGCAUAGGGGCGAAAGACUAAUCGAACUAUCUAGUAGCUGGUUCCUGCCGAAGUUUCCCUCAGGAUAGCAGUAACGUAUUCAGUUUUAUGAGGUAAAGCGAAUGAUUAGAGGCAUGGGGGUUGAAACAACCUUCACCUAUUCUCAAACUUUAAAUAUGUAAGAAGCCCUUUGUUACUUAAUUGAACGCGGGCAUUUGAAUGAAACGUUAUUAGUGGGCCAUUUUUGGUAAGCAGAACUGGCGAUGCGGGAUGAACCGAACGAGGGGUUACGGUGCCGGAGUACACGCUCAUCAGACACCACAAAAGGUGUUGGUUCAUCUAGACAGCAGGACGGUGGCCAUGGAAGUCGGAAUCCGCUAAGGAGUGUGUAACAACUCACCUGCCGAAUGAACUAGCCCUGAAAAUGGAUGGCGCUCAAGCGUGUCACCUAUACCCCUCCGCCGGGGCAAAAUUUACGCCCCGGCGAGUAGGCAGGCGUGGAGGCUCGUGACGAAGCCUUGGGGGUGACCCCAGGUCGAACGGCCUCUAGUGCAGA
This 1304-nucleotide ribosomal RNA is filed under the name Bipolaris shoemakeri. Its description in RNAcentral is "eukaryotic LSU rRNA". It matches the Rfam family "Eukaryotic large subunit ribosomal RNA", at positions 126 to 1448 of the family's 3401-position model. The record is from RNAcentral. Lineage: Eukaryota; Fungi; Ascomycota; Dothideomycetes; Pleosporales; Pleosporaceae.